AUUCAUAUAUAAAGAACCUAAAUUCAUUUUAAAGAAUCUUAUAUCCAUGAAUGUCUCGCGUUCAUCGUCGUGUAUUUCAAAUAUAGGAGGUGAUUAAGAUAGAGUUGUUUUUUUACACCCCUAGCUAUUCCAGAGGGAGUAGGGUGAUUUUCAAGGAUUUCUACAACUUCUUUGGAGGACAUUUCGAUGAUCUUUGAUUGUCUUUUCAACUUCACCGAAGUUGUGUUCGACAAACUAGCCAUUUUUUGGUGCUUGGAAUUCCAGGUCUCAAGCUCAGAAGCCCUGUUUCUAGAUACGGUCACAUGCGAUUUGAUUCGGUUGGAGGCCCAGUGACCCACCCUGAACCCCACUGCUUUGCCAGCUCUCUUUACCUCACUUUAUUCCUAGCUCCCUGCACAAAUUGGAAAAGAAGAAAUCAUAGCUCUGAAUUAAAGCAGGAAGGGCAAGUAGGAACCAUUUUGUUCCCGGAGCUUCUCCGAGACUCAGAAUCUAUCUACAAAAUGCUGUCCCUCGGGUACCCACUAACCUGACCAGUUCUCCAUUGCUUUGGAAUAUCUCUUCAAAUAUUACAAGUAGAAGAAAGGGAUGAAAGGCCUAAAGCCAGAGGGGCCCUUGCAUCAGGUUGAAUACAAAAUUUUUAUAUAUUUCAACUGCAAUGAAGUAGCAAGAACCACUGCACAUGCCCGUUUACAUGGAGAGAUCUGAAAAGCAAACAUACAAUAAUUUCCAUGAUUUUGUAACGUAAAGGGUAAACAACUGUGAAGGAGAGCCCCACUGUCCCUGCCCCAAAUAUCAUGAAUGGUUUCAGUGUGCCAUGUGCUGAUAUAUCUAAGAACACACCGUAUGCCUUUCGAUGAGCUGCGUUUCUUGGUAGCAUGUUGAAAAGGGCAGCCAUGGACAAAUGGUCCUUGUCAUUUCCAAGCAACCCUUUGUUUUCAUGUGAUGGAUCAUAGAUGUACAAGAAUCUAAAGAUCUACAUGGGCAUAUAUAUAUAAAUCACACGUGAGAGAUUAUUAUCA
Molecule: long non-coding RNA, 1019 nt
Organism: Populus trichocarpa (black cottonwood)
Lineage: Eukaryota; Viridiplantae; Streptophyta; Magnoliopsida; Malpighiales; Salicaceae
Exons: 2
Source: RefSeq, a predicted model, not a curated record